Molecule: transfer RNA, 76 nt
Filed under: SAR324 cluster bacterium
Lineage: Bacteria; Deltaproteobacteria
Description: tRNA-Arg
Rfam family: tRNA
About the family: Transfer RNA (tRNA) molecules are approximately 80 nucleotides in length. Their secondary structure includes four short double-helical elements and three loops (D, anti-codon, and T loops).
Source: RNAcentral
GCUCCUGUAGUUCAAGCGGAUAAAACGGUGGUUUCCUAAACCACAACUCUGGGUUCGAGUCCCGGCGGGAGCACCA